RNAcentral lists this ribosomal RNA (466 nucleotides) under uncultured bacterium. RNAcentral describes it as "partial 16S ribosomal RNA". It matches the Rfam family "Bacterial small subunit ribosomal RNA", at positions 339 to 795 of the family's 1533-position model. The record is from RNAcentral.
CUACGGGGGGCUGCAGUGGGGAAUAUUGCGCAAUGGGCGAAAGCCUGACGCAGCGACGCCGCGUGGGUGAUGAAGGUUUUCGGAUCGUAAAACCCUGUCAAAAGGGACGAAACUAAUUAGUGAAUAAUACCAUUGAUUAUUGACGGUACCUUUAAAGGAAGCACCGGCUAACUCCGUGCCAGCAGCCGCGGUAAAACGGAGGGUGCAAGCGUUGUUCGGAAUUACUGGGCGUAAAGAGCUCGUAGGCGGAACAGGAAGUUGGGUGUGAAAUCCCUCGGCUCAACCGAGGAACUGCGCUCAAAACCACUGGUCUUGAGUAUCGGAAGGGAACGGGGAAUUCCCAGUGUAGAAGUGAAAUUCGUAGAUAUUGGGAGGAACACCAGCGGCGAAGGCGCCGUUCUGGCCGAUAACUGACGCUGAGGAGCGAAAGCGUGGGUAGCAAACAGGAUUAGAUACCCUCGUAGUC